UCAUUAUCAGGAUGAAGGUGAAUCUCAUUACAUGUUGCUUUACUAUUUUGCAUCAAUUUUAUCAUACUUCUCAUUUCUCAAAGUAACAAUGUAUUAUAUUCUCGAAUAAACCAAAUGCUUUUCUUUUAAAGGACACUAAAAUAAUUAACGAAUUAAGUAAACUAUUAAGCUUGACCACCUCGUUGGCAUUUAGUUACAUUGCAUUUUCAUAGCCCACUUUAUCAACUUUUCUAAAAAGAUUAUGGAUCGAUAAAAGAUAGGUAUCCAUUGGUAAUAUCAAAAUUUAUUAUUCUAAUGCAUCACU
Molecule: long non-coding RNA, 304 nt
Filed under: Brassica napus (rape)
Lineage: Eukaryota; Viridiplantae; Streptophyta; Magnoliopsida; Brassicales; Brassicaceae
Description: long non-coding RNA (BNAP_LNC019371)
Source: RNAcentral